GGUCAAAUAUUCAAGCAUGAUAUUAAAUUGCAAAUUUAAAGGUGAAAAUUUUCUUUGGCCU
This 61-nucleotide transfer RNA is filed under the name Osphya sp. n. RNAcentral's name for it is "tRNA-Cys". The record is from RNAcentral. Lineage: Eukaryota; Metazoa; Arthropoda; Insecta; Coleoptera; Melandryidae.